This 451-nucleotide ribosomal RNA is filed under the name uncultured bacterium. Its description in RNAcentral is "partial 16S ribosomal RNA". It matches the Rfam family "Bacterial small subunit ribosomal RNA", at positions 29 to 523 of the family's 1533-position model. The record is from RNAcentral.
AACGAACGCUGGCGGCAGGCUUAACACAUGCAAGUCGAGGGCGCGCCUUCGGGCGUGAGCGGCGGACGGGUGAGUAACGCGUGGGAACGUGCCCUUUGGUUCGGAAUAGCCCUGGGAAACUGGGAGUAAUGCCGAAUAAGCUCUACGGAGGAAAGAUUUAUCGCCAAAGGGUCGGCCCGCGUUGGAUUAGGUGGUUGGUGGGGUAAUGGCCUACCAAGCGGACGAUCCAUAGCUGGUUUGGGAGGAUGAUCAGCGACACUGGGAGUGAGACACGGACCACUGUCCUACGAGAGGGAGCAGUGGGGAAUCUUGGACAAUGGGGGCACCCAUGAUCAGGCCUUGCCGCGUGGUCGAUGAAGGCCUUAGGGUUGUAAAGAUCUUUCAGCUGGGAAGAUACUGACGGUACCAGCAGAAGAAGUCUCGGCUAACUCCGUGCCAGCCGCCGCUGUAA